RNAcentral lists this ribosomal RNA (390 nucleotides) under uncultured bacterium. RNAcentral describes it as "bacterial SSU rRNA". It matches the Rfam family "Bacterial small subunit ribosomal RNA", at positions 28 to 420 of the family's 1533-position model. The record is from RNAcentral.
GACGAACGCUGGCGGCGUGCUUAACACAUGCAAGUCGAGCGGUAAGGCCCUUUCGGGGGUACACGAGCGGCGAACGGGUGAGUAACACGUGGGUGACCUGCCCUCAGCUCUGGGAUAAGCCUGGGAAACCGGGUCUAAUACUGGAUAUGACUCCAUGACGCAUGUUGUGGGGUGGAAAGCCUUGUGCGGCUGAGGAUGGGCCCGCGGCCUAUCAGCUUGUUGGUGGGGUGANGGCCUACCAAGGCGACGACGGGUAGCCGGCCUGAGAGGGCGACCGGCCACACUGGGACUGAGACACGGCCCAGACUCUACGGGAGGCAGCAGUGGGGAAUCUUGCGCAAUGGGCGAAAGCCUGACGCAGCGACGCCGCGUGAGGGAUGACGGCCUCGG